CCUACGGGUGGCAGCAGUGAGGAAUAUUGGUCAAUGGACGAGAGUCUGAACCAGCUAAGUAGCGUGAAGGAUGACUGCCCUAUGGGUUGUAAACUUCUUUUAUAUGGGAAUAAAGUGAGGAACGUGUUCCUUUUUGUAUGUACCAUAUGAAUAAGCAUCGGCUAACUCCGUGCCAGCAGCCGCGGUAAUACGGAGGAUGCGAGCGUUAUCCGGAUUUAUUGGGUUUAAAGGGUGCGUAGGUGGUUAAUUAAGUCAGCGGUGAAAGUUUGUGGCUCAACCAUAAAAUUGCCGUUGAAACUGGUUGACUUGAGUGGGCGAGAAGUAUGCGGAAUGCGUGGUGUAGCGGUGAAAUGCAUAGAUAUCACGAAGAAGUCCGAUUGCGAAGGCAGCAUACCGGCGCCCGACUGACACUGAGGCGCGAAAGCGUGGGGAUCGAACAGGAUUAGAUACCCCAGUAGUC
Molecule: ribosomal RNA, 460 nt
Filed under: uncultured bacterium
Lineage: Bacteria
Description: partial 16S ribosomal RNA
Rfam family: Bacterial small subunit ribosomal RNA
Source: RNAcentral